Mya arenaria is the source of this 296-nucleotide long non-coding RNA. RefSeq lists it as uncharacterized. Lineage: Eukaryota; Metazoa; Mollusca; Bivalvia; Myida; Myidae. The transcript has 3 exons. The record is from RefSeq and is a predicted model, not a curated record.
CAUAUAUUACCUCAAGGGAACGAAGAAUGGCACCAACAGAAACUCGAGGUUCCAGUUUGGGCUAUAGGAUUGGUUGUAGUAUUUAUCAAGUACAAACAACCGUGUUCGAAGAAAAGAAGAGAAAAGAAGGACUGCAAUGUCUCUUCGGAGGAUGACCAUAGGAAUGAGAAAAAAGAAGAAAUCCCUUUAACUCGUAAAAGAAGAGGAAGGAAAGACAGCAAAGCCUCUACCGAGGAUGGCCGUAGGAAAGGGAACCAAAAAGAACCCCCUUCAACCGUCUUUAAACCUUCUCAAAG